GGAUGCGAUCAUACCAGCACUAAAGCACCGGAUCCCAUCAGAACUCCGAAGUUAAGCGUGCUUGGGUGAGAGUAGUACUAGGAUGGGUGACCUCCUGGGAAGUCCUCGUGUUACAUUCC
RNAcentral lists this ribosomal RNA (119 nucleotides) under Aegilops tauschii subsp. strangulata. Lineage: Eukaryota; Viridiplantae; Streptophyta; Magnoliopsida; Poales; Poaceae. The record is from RNAcentral.